UUUUUGGCAAAAUUUCAUUUAAUGUUGAUUUAUAUUUUUGGCAAACUUAUUAGAAUAUAAUAAUAAUUCAUAUAUUACAUUCAAUAUUGAUAUUUUUUUUGGUAAACGUUUUUUUUAAAUAUGGUAAUAGCUCAUACAUCAUCUACAAAAUAAAUAUAUUCAUAUAUAACAUUUUAAAUUUCAAAAUAUUAUUAUUUUUGUAUAAUUGUACAAUUUGUAUUGCUAAAGCUUUCAAAAAAUUCUACAAUUUUUUAAAAAUUUAAAUAUCUAAUCAUAAGAUCAUUAGCUAAAUUUUGAUAAUUAUACAAUUUUAUAUUAUUUUUAUUAGUUUUAUACAAAUUGAUUUAAUAUAUAUAUCAAAUUUAUAUUAAAUAUUAGUAAGAAAAUAGUAAAAUCUAUAAUAUUUAAUAAAAUUUAUUUUUAAAUAUAAGUUAGAUUAAAAAAAUUCCUUACUGCACAUGGUGUAAGAAAACACCUAGUUAGUUGUAUUUCAAGGGUGGAUGUUAAUUAAUUGAUAUAAAACCAAUGUGUGUGUGUGUGUCCCAUUUAUAUAUAGUAUGUUUAAAAUUAAAGGUUCGCUUUUAAUUUAUGCAAUUUUAUCUUUUAUAUUAACUAUGAGACCUGGUAAAACUUUAGAUUCUACUUUCUUAAAUGAGAUAGCUUAUAAGCAAAUGUUGUAUCAUCAUUUCAUAAAAUUUCGCUCAAAAUUUCAAAUUUGUAUAUGUUCAUUUUUUUUAACGCUGAUUUAUUAUGAUAUUACAAUUAUGAGAAAUAUUACAUAGACGGUUUGAUAGUUCUUGUAAGUAUUUCUUAUGUAUUCUGCAUAAUUGCUUAAUAACUCGUUUUUACUAGAAUUUGAAAUCUAGAUUUCCUAUACUCUGAAAUAAAUUGCAUAGUUUAGGAUUCGAACUAAAGAUUUAGGUGUAGAAACCUUUAAAUUUUAACCAUUAGGCUACGGUGUUUCCACAUAUAUGUUCUUUUGUAAUCCGAAUACAGUUCAUUUCAGAAUAUAAACCCCUACUUCUAAGUUCCAACCAAAAUAUUCGGCAAUUGUUUUCUAUUUUACGGAUAAGAUUUUUUUGAGCGACAAUAGACCAUACUUUCUCCCCUCCUUUUUUUAAAACUUAUAAUUACUGGAUUUUAUUUUCAAACUCAAUGUGCCAUAAUAGCCCAAUACACCAUCUUUUGGAACUUCUUUUCGAACUAUAAACUCUUAAAUUUUUUCAUGUAAAAGUACAAAAUAUGUUUUAAAAUCUAAUUUUAAUCUUUCAAAAGAAAUAAUUGUUUCCUUAAAAUGUUAAUUUUAUUUGUACUAAGAAGACUGAGGGCAAUCAUCUUAUUUCCCACAUGGGAAUAAAUAUAUUAGUGUUCUAUGUUUUUAUAGGGUGAACAAAAAUAUGAAAACUACAUACUUUGUGGCAAAGGUUUAUCAUUAAAAAAAUUGGAAAUAACACUUGUCAUAAAAGUGUUUUUCCUAAGUUGUCAUAAAGGUUAGAUUAAAUUUAUUAAGAAAAAUAAGGAGGUUAUAAGAUUUACCAUUUCAUCUAUAUUUUGCCUUUUUGAAAUUUUAAUUCCAGUUGGACUAAGAUUUUAGAUGUGAUUGGGUAGAAAAAAGAUCAAUGUAAUUAAGAAAAGUAAAGAAGGUAUAAGAUUUACCAGUUUUAUCUAUAUUUUGCUUUUUGAAACUUCAAUUCCAGUUGGACUACCGUUUUCGAUGUGAUUGGAUAGAAAAAAAAUCAAUGUAAUUAAGAAAAGUGAGGAAGAUAUAAAAAUCUCUAAAUUUUCUUUUUGGUAGCUUCUUUCUCUUGCUCACAGUACUAGUGAUACGGUGUAGAAGAAAAUAGAUUAAAAAACAUAUCAUUUACCAUAAAAAACUAUGAAUUUAAAAAACUUAUUGAUAGAUAUUAACCCAAAGAAAUAUUUAAGAAAUUAAUAGCAAAUUAAAACAAAAGGAGACAAAAUAAGUUUAAAUGAUGCACAUUGCAUAGAAUAGAAUAUGAAAGUCUCUGGACACAAAUACAAUAGGCAUGCAUUGUAUUUGAUGGGCUCUAGAUGAGCAUGCUUUAUUCACAUAAAACAAAAGUAGAUAUUAGGAAGAAUUAAAUAAAAUGAUUAUUCAGGUUUUCUUAAAUCC
This is a long non-coding RNA of Brassica rapa (field mustard), 2134 nucleotides long. RefSeq lists it as uncharacterized. NCBI's taxonomy places the organism in Eukaryota, Viridiplantae, Streptophyta, Magnoliopsida, Brassicales, Brassicaceae. The record is from RefSeq and is a predicted model, not a curated record.